This 64-nucleotide transfer RNA is filed under the name Holotrichia sp. NS-2020. RNAcentral describes it as "tRNA-Asp". The record is from RNAcentral. Lineage: Eukaryota; Metazoa; Arthropoda; Insecta; Coleoptera; Scarabaeidae.
AAAAAUUUAGUUAAAAAUAUAACAUCAACUUGUCAAGUUGAAAUUAUCAGAAAGAUAGUUUUUU